GAUGUGGGAGACUGGACUGGUUCCCUUGUGACCUAACGUCAAUCUUUUGUGACACCAACAACUGCAAAGGAUGUAGAAGACCUGCAUUGCUGGUGGCCUGUGUGGUCUGAGGAACAAACAUGGUGUGGGUGACACAAAGACGUAAGAAACAGUCCUACAGCAUGGCUCCAGUUCCUAGGUCUGGAGACUACCCAAGGAAGUCACAGGAGUCAAUAGAGGCAGCUGUGCAGUGCACAAAGAGCAGCACCACAGAGGAAGGACGGACUCAGUCCAGGCAAGGAAGAGGUUUCAAAGCAAAGAGAUUCUCCAGAUGGUUGUGCUUGCUUGCCUGACACAUGGGGCUGAACAAAGCUUAAUAGCUACCAACACCAAGGAGGAAUUUUGUUUCCCAAAAUGCCAAUCCCAAGGAAAGGGAAAAAUAAAUAACACUGACUUGCUGGCGGAGAUAUUGGGGCUGGGCAGUGCCAGAAGGCUCCUACAUGUGUUGGCCCUUGGAGUCCUGGAUGUGCAGGUAAGUAAGAUCUGUGCUUCUCAGAGUUUGCAGAGGGGACUUCAUCUGGGGACUGUUUUAAAGGAGCAAAGUCUUGUUGAUUUUUUCUAAAUCAGUUGGAAACAGAAGUGCUGAGGUACUAACAGGACAACUCCUGUUCUAACCCAGCUGUCAGAGUAUAUCCAAAGAGUGUU
This 684-nucleotide long non-coding RNA is filed under the name Anas platyrhynchos platyrhynchos (common mallard). RNAcentral's name for it is "lncRNA (ENSAPLG00000016860.1)". Lineage: Eukaryota; Metazoa; Chordata; Aves; Anseriformes; Anatidae. The record is from RNAcentral.